RNAcentral lists this ribosomal RNA (468 nucleotides) under uncultured bacterium. Its description in RNAcentral is "partial 16S ribosomal RNA". It matches the Rfam family "Bacterial small subunit ribosomal RNA", at positions 28 to 507 of the family's 1533-position model. The record is from RNAcentral.
GACGAACGCUGGCGGCGUGCUUAACACAUGCAAGUCGAACGGAAAGGCCCUGCUUUUGUGGGGUACUCGAGUGGCGAACGGAUGAGUAACACGUGAGUAACCUGCCCUUGACUUUGGGAUAACUUCAGGAAACUGGGGCUAAUACCGGAUAGGAGCUCCUGCUGCAUGGUGGGGGUUGGAAAGUUUCGGCGGUUGGGGAUGGACUCGCGGCUUAUCAGCUUGUUGGUGGGGUAGUGGCUUACCAAGGCUUUGACGGGUAGCCGGCCUGAGAGGGUGACCGGCCACAUUGGGACUGAGAUACCGCCCAGACUCCUACGGGAGGCAGCAGUGGGGAAUAGUGCACGAUGGGCGGAAGCCUGAUGCAGCAACGCCGCGUGCGGGAUGACGGCCUUCGGGUUGUAAACCGCUUUCGCCGGUGACGAAGAGUGAGUGACGGUAAUGGGUAAAGAAGCAACGGCUAACUACGUG